CUGAUGCAGCCAUGCCGCGUGAGUGAUGAAGGCCUUCGGGUUGUAAAGCUCUUUUGUCAGGGACGAAAAUGACGGUACCUGGAGAAUAAGCCCCGGCUAGUUUCUUGACAGCAGCCGCGGUAAUACGAAGGGGGCUAGCGUUGUUCGGAAUUACUGGGCGUAAAGCGCACGUAGGCUGCUUGUUAAGUCAGGGGUGAAAUCCCGAGGCUCA
Molecule: ribosomal RNA, 211 nt
Filed under: uncultured type II methanotroph
Lineage: Bacteria; Pseudomonadati; Pseudomonadota; Alphaproteobacteria; Hyphomicrobiales; Methylocystaceae
Description: partial 16S ribosomal RNA
Rfam family: Bacterial small subunit ribosomal RNA
Source: RNAcentral